GACGAACGCUGGCGGCGUGCUUAACACAUGCAAGUCGAACGGAAAGGCCCCUUUGGGGGUACUCGAGUGGCGAACGGGUGAGUAACACGUGAGUAACCUGCCCUUGACUUCGGGAUAACUUCAGGAAACUGGGGCUAAUACCGGAUAGGAAUCCUUGCUGCAUGGUGGGGGUUGGAAAGCUUCGGCGGUUUUGGAUGGACUCGCGGCUUAUCAGCUUGUUGGUGGGGUAGUGGCUUACCAAGGCGUUGACGGGUAGCCGGCCUGAGAGGGCGACCGGCCACAUUGGGACUGAGGUACGGCCCAGACUCCUACGGGAGGCAGCAGUGGGGAAUAUUGCACAAUGGGCGGAAGCCUGAUGCAGCAACGCCGCGUGCGGGAUGACGGCCUUCGGGUUGUAAACCGCUUUCAGCAGGGGCGAAGCUUGUGGUGACGGUACCUGCAGAAGAAGCACCGGCUAACUACGUG
Molecule: ribosomal RNA, 465 nt
Filed under: uncultured bacterium
Lineage: Bacteria
Description: partial 16S ribosomal RNA
Rfam family: Bacterial small subunit ribosomal RNA
Source: RNAcentral